Molecule: unclassified non-coding RNA, 301 nt
Filed under: Hevea brasiliensis (rubber tree)
Lineage: Eukaryota; Viridiplantae; Streptophyta; Magnoliopsida; Malpighiales; Euphorbiaceae
Source: RNAcentral
CGAGGGGAUGUGAAUGAUCCAUUCCUUGAAGCUGAUCGGCGGGAAACAGCAAAACAAGAAGCUGCAGCUAAGCGGGUACAUCCAACUUUGAAUUUGCCUGCAAAUUCACAGCCUUCAACACAGGUUGCUGGGUUGUUUGCAACCUCAGCAGCUCCUGGAGCAUCAAUUGUUCCACAGACAUCUGCAGCAACGGCAUCAGCUUCCUCGGAGUGCAUUCUCUCUUUUCAGUCCACCUUCUACUGCAGCAUCUUCCUCUUUGUCAUCAUCCUCUUUAUUUGCAACACCAACAGCCUCUGCUCCA